CGGAUUCCGGAACGCCGUCAAAUAAAAGUCUCCAUUUACACAUUAUUGUCUAUGUUACAAGAUGGCCGACGAAGCGAUCGAGAAAUUUCCUCGACUUAGAAGACAAAGUUACCAUACGUAUUAAAUCUUUACGGUUCUCGAAAUUGAAGCAUCUUCAUGAGAAUCAAAAUAGAAGUGAGACUGAAGCCGAACAUGAACAUAAUUUUUGGUGAAACUACUCCUUGUCCAGUGUCCGCUGCAGCACCACGUGGUUACACCGGCAUCGAUCUAUGCCUGAUGUUGUUUUCUGUAUAGACAUUUUAAAUACCAUGACCCUACAGAUGUUAAUUGGUAUGACGGAAGAAGUAAAAUUUUUGCAAAACAGAUUUUUGUAUGCUGUGUCCAUGUCAGAUACAUAAGGAAAGUUCAAGCCAGAUCUGCUAUAGCAAACUGAACAUAAAGUGGCAUAUUUGUGUGUCAGGAAACAAGGAACAUGUAAUGCUGGACUGAUCGAGAAUCGAAACGGGGAUCCCUGCAUCACCACUUACAUAAAAAGAACUACAUGUACCAGAAGGAGACAGUAAAGAGGAACGGACAUAUCACACCAUAAGACGUGCUUCAAAAUCUGAAUAUACAGAAUGAAUUUUGCUUACUGCAGAUCCUUCUGAAAGAACACGUUUGUUGUAUUGACAUAAAAACAACUGAAUUGUCAGGAUCCUUGAACAUGACGCAUUUGGCUGCAUAUGAUGGCAAUUAAAAAUGCAUACGAGUUUACAUUGAUCUUUGUUAGCUAAUAAGACAAAAAGCAAAAUAGCAAGUUUACCUAUUACCGUACAUGUACUGAAUGUAUUCACUUUAUUUUUUUUUGAACUACAUCAUCAGUUUAAAAAAUGUACAGUAGCACAUGUAUACAGUUUAUGGUGGGAUUCCUCUAACUUUCAUGAAUCUGUUUGCAAAAUCUGUACUUUAAAGUUUCAAAUUAUUACCUCUAAUACAAUGUCUGUGUUUUUUUUUUAUAAUUACAUGAUUUUUGUAUGUAUGUAAUGAUAACCAAAUCACCCAAUUUUCCCGCAUUUUUUACCAUGUAUUUAGCUUUUUUUUUUUUUAACAUGCUUAAGUGUAUUUAUAUCUGACAACUGAUGACCAGGCAGUCUUCAUUUAACAGUGUAAUUCAUAACACAUUUUAGCUGAAUAUUUUUAAAACAAGGAUAUCAUGUUGUGGAUUGAUUCUGUGUUCAAAAUUUCAUUAUCACUGGGUUUUCUUAUUUAUGUUGUACAUGUGUACAUGUAUUUGGAAUAAAAAAGGAAUUGUUGAAAGAAAAGUGAAAUUAAUCAUGCUAUUUUUGUCAAAGGAAGAUAAAAAAAACCAGUUUACUUAUGCACAGAAUUAGUCAAAACAUAUUUUUAUUGAUAAUUCAUCCCAGAAUCAUAUGUAUAAUAAAUCUACAAAGUCAAUUUGAAUGGUAUCAAGGAAAGAUCUUAUCUUUUUUAAUAUUAGUGCAAAAAGGUCAAGGAGGGCAACGUAAGUACAGGUGUACUUGUAUAAAUUGUUUUCUGUGAUAUAGAAUGUAAUUUAGAAGAAUAAUACUUGGAAUUUAACUCAUUUUCUUUGAAAUACUUUGAUUAAAUAUUCUAUCUAUU
Molecule: long non-coding RNA, 1620 nt
Organism: Saccostrea cuccullata (small rock oyster)
Lineage: Eukaryota; Metazoa; Mollusca; Bivalvia; Ostreida; Ostreidae
Exons: 3
Source: RefSeq, a predicted model, not a curated record